GACGAACGCUGGCGGCGUGCCUAAUACAUGCAAGUAGAACGCUGAAGAGAGGAGCUUGCUCUUCUUGGAUGAGUUGCGAACGGGUGAGUAACGCGUAGGUAACCUGCCUGGUAGCGGGGGAUAACUAUUGGAAACGAUAGCUAAUACCGCAUGAAAUGGAUUAUCGCAUGAUAAUCGAUUGAAAGGUGCAAAUGCAUCACUACCAGAUGGACCUGCGUUGUAUUAGCUAGUUGGGGGGGUAACGGCUCACCAAGGCAACGAUACAUAGCCGACCUGAGAGGGUGAGCGGCCACACUGGGACUGAGACACGGCCCAGACUCCUACGGGAGGCAGCAGUAGGGAAUCUUCGGCAAUGGACGGAAGUCUGACCGAGCAACGCCGCGUGAGUGAAGAAGGCUUUCGGAUCGUAAAGCUCUGUUGUAAGAGAAGAACGAGUGUGAGAGUGGAAAGUUCACACUGUGACGGUAUCUUACCAGAAAGGGACGGCUAACUACGUGCCAGCAGCCGCAGUAA
This 513-nucleotide ribosomal RNA is filed under the name uncultured bacterium. RNAcentral's name for it is "partial 16S ribosomal RNA". It matches the Rfam family "Bacterial small subunit ribosomal RNA", at positions 28 to 523 of the family's 1533-position model. The record is from RNAcentral.